Molecule: non-coding RNA, 1041 nt
Organism: Cherax quadricarinatus
Lineage: Eukaryota; Metazoa; Arthropoda; Malacostraca; Decapoda; Parastacidae
Source: RefSeq, a predicted model, not a curated record
UUUAGAAAAAGGAGAAAAAAACCUUGAUGUAUGUUAUAUAUAUAUAUGCAUGUGUGUGUCUGUGAAGUGUGACCAAAGUGUAAGUAGGAGUAGCAAGAUAUCCCUGUUAUCUAGCGUGUUUAUGAGACAGAAAAAGACACCAGCAAUCCUACCAUCUCGUAAAACAGUUACAGGCCUCUGUUUCACAGUCAUCUGGCAGGACGGUAGUACAUCCCUGGGUUGCUGCUGUCUACCAGCCUACUACCUAUAACGUCAAAAGUUCGCAAUGUUGGAGUUAAAAAUCCUAGUGAGCAGCAUCUUCAGGAGAUUCAGGGUGGAGAGCGUCGUCCCCAGAGACCAACUCAAGCUUGUCUCCCAAGUCAUUCUUAGACCUGUUAAUGGCAACUUCGUCAAACUCUUCCCCAGGACAAAAUGAUGAGCAUAAGAACACCCAGAAACAAGGAACCACAUGAACCAAGACUUUAAUAAUAACAGUACCAGUAUAUAGUUUUAAAACAUUACAAAAAUACUGCCUUUGUUAGUGAUGAUGUUAUUUAGCAAAACGGACAACCAACAUAAACUGGAAUAUUUUAUAUGUAAUGAAGUUUAAUAUUUAACAUCUUUGCUAUCUUGAUAUUUCCCAAGAUUUUCUUCACCUUUGAGGUGUUGAUAUCAAGCUUCAUAACUAAUUACAGACUGUAAAAAUACUAUGACACCUACAGCAGAACAUAAAUGUUUACGUAAUGAUUUGAUUAACCGUGAUAGUUUUCUAUUCAUCUUCAUGGUUAAACACUGUCUUUUAGAAACUUGCUCCAUUCUGACUAUUGCCUCCAUUUUGCUUUCAACUUUUUUCCUCCAUUUUGCUUACAAAAGUCGAGGUUCCAAUAUAUCAUUACUUCUGAUUCCAUUAUAUUGUGACUUUCUCUUUCACACUAACAUUCUCCCUCCAUUCUUUACCAAGUUAUGUAACCAACCCAUAUACCAUGUUGGGCACAAUAACUCAUUCAGGUUUGUAGCUUUUACUUGUAAAACUGUUGUUAAUAAUAAAAAAAUAAUAACUAU